CACCGCGGUUAUACGAGAGACCCAAGUCGACAGACCCCGGCGUAAAGCGUGAUUAAUAUUAUAUAACCACUAAAGUCGAACGCCUCCAAGGCUGUUAUACGCUUCCGGAGGUAAGAAGCCCACCCACGAAAGUAACUUUAAAUUAUAUGAAUUCACGAAAGCUAUGAAA
Molecule: ribosomal RNA, 169 nt
Filed under: Priolepis hipoliti (rusty goby)
Lineage: Eukaryota; Metazoa; Chordata; Actinopteri; Gobiiformes; Gobiidae
Description: partial 12S rRNA
Source: RNAcentral